RNAcentral lists this ribosomal RNA (1177 nucleotides) under uncultured bacterium. RNAcentral describes it as "bacterial SSU rRNA". It matches the Rfam family "Bacterial small subunit ribosomal RNA", at positions 42 to 1214 of the family's 1533-position model. The record is from RNAcentral.
GCGUGCCUAANACAUGCAAGUCGAGCGGUAACAGGUGUAGCAAUACAUGCUGACGAGCGGCGAACGGGUGAGUAAUGCUUCGGAAUCUACCCUCUAGUGGGGAAUAACCAGCCGAAAGGUUGGCUAAUACCGCAUACGUCCUACGGGAGAAAGCAGGGGAUCGUAAGACCUUGCGCUGAUGGAUGAGCCGAAGUCGGAUUAGCUAGUUGGUGGGGUAACGGCUCACCAAGGCGACGAUCCGUAGCUGGUCUGAGAGGACGACCAGCCACACUGGAACUGAGACACGGUCCAGACUCCUACGGGAGGCAGCAGUGGGGAAUAUUGGACAAUGGGGGCAACCCUGAUCCAGCGACGCCGCGUGUGCGAAGAAGGCCUGCGGGUUGUAAAGCACUUUUAGUGGGGAUGAAAUGUGCAGGGUUAAUACCUCUGCAUUUUGACCUAACCCACAGAAGAAGCACCGGCUAACUCUGUGCCAGCAGCCGCGGUAAUACAGAGGGUGCAAGCGUUAAUCGGAAUUACUGGGCGUAAAGCGUGCGCAGACGGUUAUAUAAGUCGGGUGUGAAAGCCCCGGGCUCAACCUGGGAAUUGCAUUCGAGACUGUGUAGCUAGGGUACGGAAGAGGGAAGCGGAAUUUCAGGUGUAGCGGUGAAAUGCGUAGAUAUCUGAAGGAACACCAGUGGCGAAAGCGGCUUCCUGGUCCAGUACCGACGUUCAGGCACGAAAGCGUGGGGAGCAAACAGGAUUAGAUACCCUGGUAGUCCACGCCAUAAACGAUGAGAACUAGACGUUGGGGGGGUAAGCCCCUCAGUGUCGCAGCUAACGCGCUAAGCUCUCCGCCUGGGGAGUACGGCCGCAAGGUUGAAACUCAAAGGAGUUGACGGGGACCCGCACAAGCGGUGGAGCAUGUGGUUUAAUUCGAUGCAACGCGAAGAACUUUACCUGGUCUUGACAUCCUGGGGACCCUGAAGAGAUUUAGGGGUGCCGCAAGGAGCCCAGAGACAGGUGCUGCAUGGCUGUCGUCAGCUCGUGUCGUGAGAUGUUGGGUUAAGUCCCGCAACGAGCGCAACCCUUGUCCUUAGUUGCCAUCAUUUAGUUGGGCACUCUAAGGAGACCGCCGGUGACAAACCGGAGGAGGGUGGGGAUGACGUCAAGUCAUCAUGGCCUUUAUGACCAGGGC